GCUAUAGCAUCACAUAAUUAUGCUACAUCAACAAUAUAAUCUUCCCAACAGUAAUAAGUCUUUACCAUCUCCUAUUCUAUAUCCUGCUACUAUAAGCAGCAAGCUGACCAAACAUCUUAUUCCAUACACAUGUUAACUGUUUCAACCACACCUGAAUAGUUUUGCACCUAGACAACCAAGGAAGGAGAGGGAAAAGGGGAGGGGGGUCCUUCAAAAAGUAAUGAGCACCAUAAGACUAUAAAGCUCAAAAUAAUUAGAGAUGGAUCCA
This 268-nucleotide unclassified non-coding RNA is filed under the name Hevea brasiliensis (rubber tree). The record is from RNAcentral. Lineage: Eukaryota; Viridiplantae; Streptophyta; Magnoliopsida; Malpighiales; Euphorbiaceae.